RNAcentral lists this long non-coding RNA (1355 nucleotides) under Salmo trutta (river trout). RNAcentral's name for it is "lncRNA (ENSSTUG00000037533.1)". The record is from RNAcentral. Lineage: Eukaryota; Metazoa; Chordata; Actinopteri; Salmoniformes; Salmonidae.
CUUUAAUGUGUAGCAGUGGUGAUGGCGAGGUUAAAAUGUCACUUAUGACUUCAUUUUCCACAUGACAACAACUUCUCAUAGUGUAUACACAAAACUAAACAGCCUAUACAAAUUACAUAGCCACACAACCCAAACAUGACAGCCAACAUGACUAAUAAUUCUGAAUAACUGGGUGAGUUCAAAGGUCAAAAUCAGAGUUUAUUAUACAACCUUUGAUCUAUUGUGUGUCAGGACAGGUGUGUGUAUCACCCAGACUAUGAUCUCAGCUGAGAAACACACACGAAGAACACUUCACAGAGACAUCAUGUUCAGGUAAGAACCUCUUCCAGUACUUUCAGGGGAAAACCACUGUCAUAUAGUACACGUUACAUCAGAACACAGUGAAUCAGUUGUCAGUUAAUCAGGUUAAUAAUCAUCAUCAAUAGUCAGUUGAUCAUCAUGUCUCUCUUCCUCUCAGAAUUUCUGUGUUGAUCUGCAUCUCUCUACUGGUUUAUGGCAACUCAGCCAAGCCAUACAAGUCCUGGGUACGUACCGUAGACUGCAUAAAUAUAACAUUACUUCAAUGUAUGUACUCGCCUCCCUUAAGUGUACUAUGUACUAUUAUUCUCCUAUGCACCAGUCUUCUGUUCUCUCUCUUGCAGGAUAAAGUGGCUGAGUAUGCAGUCCAGGAGACUCUGAUGUCUGAAAAGGAGAGGGUGAUGUUUGAUCUGGGGCUGAAGCAGGUGGAGGCUCCUGAAGACAUGGACAUCACUAACAAUGACAUCCACCCUGUCAUGGCCAUCUGGAAGAACAUGAGAGGGGGAGGUGGGAAUAGACAGAAGGUAGAAAAAGAGGUAGUCCAAGGCAGAUACUCCACAACCGAGGAGGACAUGGACCAUCUAUACCACCCAUCCAUGGAGCAGACCCACGAGGCUGACCUGGCCAGAGCCCGAUCUCAGCCAGAGGACACCUUCGUUGGGAUGGCCAUCCAGACAGAGCCCCUAGAGGAGGAUAACACCAAGUACUACCAGGAGGCUGGGAUAGAUCUAGAUAACAUCUCUCAUCUCUUCUCAGGCCAGGUGGAUCCACGACACCCUGAAGAGGACUGGGACGAACUCUACCAUCCAGAGAUGAAAAGGGGAGACGGGCAGUACCAAGUGGACGUGCCUCACCAGGGGAAGCUAGCUGCUGUAGGGGCAGAGGUCAAGGGUCAUAGUGAGCCAGAGGAAGACAGGGAUGACCUCUACCAUGGUGACCUGCCUGUACCUGUUCAGGUGAAUGGGAGUGGCCAGGACAGGCAGCAGUCUGCCGAUCGGCCCUCUCAGAGGAUGUACAGAGAACCAGAAGAGGACCUGGAUGACCUCUAUCAUCAUUAA